This 58-nucleotide transfer RNA is filed under the name Loxodonta africana (African savanna elephant). It matches the Rfam family "tRNA", at positions 8 to 63 of the family's 71-position model. From Rfam's summary of the family: Transfer RNA (tRNA) molecules are approximately 80 nucleotides in length. Their secondary structure includes four short double-helical elements and three loops (D, anti-codon, and T loops). The record is from Rfam by way of RNAcentral. Lineage: Eukaryota; Metazoa; Chordata; Mammalia; Proboscidea; Elephantidae.
UGGCACAGUGGUGAAAGCGCUCGGCUGCUAACCGAAAGGUCGGUGGUUCGAACCCACC